Bradysia coprophila is the source of this 164-nucleotide long non-coding RNA. The record is from RefSeq and is a predicted model, not a curated record. Lineage: Eukaryota; Metazoa; Arthropoda; Insecta; Diptera; Sciaridae.
CCGGUGGUUCAGAUCGUUGACCGCUUGCUUCAUACACAAGAGGUCUCGGGUUCGAAUCUCAUUAGGGCGCGUGCAACAAAAAUUUUAUUUCCAAAUUUCAAUUUGAUUUCUCAUACUUUGCACUCUUCAAUUUCAAAAAUUAAACACAUUUUCAAAAACUAUAA